ACCUCAAAAGAAGCAGAGGGGGCUUAGUGGUGGGGUGACUGCGUACCUUUUGUAUAAUGGGUCAGCGACUUAUAUUCUGUAGCAAGGUUAACCGUAUAGGGGAGCCGGAGGGAAACCGAGUCUUAACCGGGCGUUAAGUUGCAGGGUAUAGACCCGAAACCCGGUGAUCUAGCCAUGGGCAGGUUGAAGGUUGGGUAACACUAACUGGAGGACCGAACCGACUAAUGUUGAAAAAUUAGCGGAUGACCUGUGGCUGGGGGUGAAAGGCCAAUCAAACCGGGAGAUAGCUGGUUCUCCCCGAAAGCUAUUUAGGUAGCGCCUCGUGAACUCAUCUCCGGGGGUAGAGCACUGUUUCGGCUAGGGGGCCAUCCCGGCUUACCAACCCGAUGCAAACUGCGAAUACCGGAGAAUGUUAUCACGGGAGACACACGGCGGGUGCUAACGUCCGUCGUGAAGAGGGAAACAACCCAGACCGCCAGCUAAGGUCCCAAAGUCAUGGUUAAGUGGGAAACGAUGUGGGAAGGCCCAGACAGCCAGGAUGUUGGCUUAGAAGCAGCCAUCAUUUAAAGAAAGCGUAAUAGCUCACUGGUCGAGUCGGCCUGCGCGGAAGAUGUAACGGGGCUAAACCAUGCACCGAAGCUGCGGCAGCGACAUUUAGGUGUUGUUGGGUAGGGGAGCGUUCUGUAAGCCUGUGAAGGUGGCCUGUGAGGGUUGCUGGAGGUAUCAGAAGUGCGAAUGCUGACAUAAGUAACGAUAAAGCGGGUGAAAAGCCCGCUCGCCGGAAGACCAAGGGUUCCUGUCCAACGUUAAUCGGGGCAGGGUGAGUCGACCCCUAAGGCGAGGCCGA
RNAcentral lists this ribosomal RNA (847 nucleotides) under Salmonella enterica subsp. enterica. Its description in RNAcentral is "partial 23S ribosomal RNA". It matches the Rfam family "Bacterial large subunit ribosomal RNA", at positions 568 to 1405 of the family's 2925-position model. Lineage: Bacteria; Pseudomonadati; Pseudomonadota; Gammaproteobacteria; Enterobacterales; Enterobacteriaceae. The record is from RNAcentral.